CCUACGGGUGGCAGCAGUGAGGAAUAUUGGUCAAUGGACGAGAGUCUGAACCAGCCAAGUAGCGUGAAGGAUGACUGCCCUAUGGGUUGUAAACUUCUUUUAUAAAGGAAUAAAACAAGGCACUUGUGCCUUUUUGCAUGUACUUUAUGAAUAAGCAUCGGCUAACUCCGUGCCAGCAGCCGCGGUAAUACGGAGGAUCCGAGCGUUAUCCGGAUUUAUUGGGUUUAAAGGGAGCGGAGAUGGGUUGUUAAGUCAGUUGUGAAAUUUUGCGGCUCAACCGUAAAAUUGCAAUUGAUACUGGCAGUCUUGAGUACAGUUGAGGUAGGCGGAAUUCGUGGUGUAGCGGUGAAAUGCUUAGAUAUCACGAAGAACCCCGAUUGCGAAGGCAGCUUACUAAACUGUGACUGACAUUGAUGCUCGAAAGUGUGGGUAUCAAACAGGAUUAGAUACCCGGGUAGUC
Molecule: ribosomal RNA, 460 nt
Filed under: uncultured bacterium
Lineage: Bacteria
Description: partial 16S ribosomal RNA
Rfam family: Bacterial small subunit ribosomal RNA
Source: RNAcentral